UAAGUUUACUGAACACAAGGCGUCGACUUUCCUUUGUUCAAACCACAAAACACAAGAAACAGAAUAGAGAAACAGAGAGAGACAGAACAGAGAGAGAUUGUGUGUGUAAAAGAGAGACAGAACACAAGACUUUAGUAACCCAGUUCACCUAUUAAAGGCUACGUCUGGGCCGAGACUGUGCUCGGAAUCCACUAGAUUGUGGAUGUCAGAAUCCGCAAUUAGAAUCUUGUGGUUGUUUUAACGGGGAUCUUUUGGUCUUGUUAGACGAGCAAUGAUCGAAUUGAAAAGAGAAGAAUGUGCUUCUGAAAUUUGUGUAUAGUCUUCGUGUUUUUUUUAUAUUGUCACUUUUACAAAUGUCAUCAACUCAUAUUUAUACUCAAUACAUCGAAUCGAACGUAUUAAACUGUUUGUUGAUUUCACGCCGCAGAUCUCGCCUUAUUUACGUCGUACGUUACGAAUCUCUAACUCGGGAUUUAAUGCGCAGUUUAAGUCGUGAUCCUUCCGUUUCUUUAUUAAUGUCGGAUCACCUGUUAAGCGGCCUGGCCCAUGCUGGGCUGUGAAUUGGGCCUAACUCGUCUUGAAGCCUAUUGAAUGCGGAUUGCGCCGAAGUGGGCCGAAUCCGACAUCCACAUAGAUCACUUUGGUGUUUACAAA
Molecule: small RNA, 654 nt
Filed under: Arabidopsis thaliana (thale cress)
Lineage: Eukaryota; Viridiplantae; Streptophyta; Magnoliopsida; Brassicales; Brassicaceae
Description: ATSL307360
Source: RNAcentral